Molecule: unclassified non-coding RNA, 158 nt
Filed under: soil metagenome
Description: partial internal transcribed spacer 1
Source: RNAcentral
CAAUAAGUGUUCAAUGGCACUUUAAAAUCCAUUACCCACCUUGUGUGCAAUGUAAGGAGGAGGGGGUUUAUCAGACUUUUUGGUCUGGUUUCCCCUCUUUCAUUAUACAUACCAAUCUUCUCUUGUUGUCUACUUUUUGAGUAUAAAAAACUCGAAUA